This is a non-coding RNA of Prunus avium (sweet cherry), 1275 nucleotides long. The record is from RefSeq and is a predicted model, not a curated record. Lineage: Eukaryota; Viridiplantae; Streptophyta; Magnoliopsida; Rosales; Rosaceae.
AUAGAAAACACCUGGCACACUCUAUUUUGUUUCGGAUCCAAAAAGAGAAAAAAAGAAAAAAAGUUGUUCCUUGAAAUUGAAUCAAUAAAGAACGUGGCAAACCGCUUUUUGAAAAGCUCACGCACGUCGAGCUCUCUCGGUCUUCUGUUCCAGCCGACCGAGUCACCCCAUUUUCCUCUCUCCUUACUCUUUUCACCCAACAGAAAGAAAGCACACAGCUCAUCGACGGCAAGCCUCACAUCCGCUUUCUCCGACCACCACCAGGUGAUUUUAUCAUCUCCCUCCUCCGCCCUCUCUCUAUCCCUUUUUAAUCUCUGAAUUCAUAUUAAGAAUAGAACCAGUGAUUCGGAUCCAAACCCACACACAAAAAAGAUCCGAUCGGAUCCGGAUCUCGCACCCCUCAUGCCUCGCAAACCCAACAUCCUAGGGUUUCUCUUCAGCCUCUUCUUCCUCACAUUCUGCCAUGCCGAUCCGGGUUCCAAUUGCCCCAAGACCAGCCCUCUCGUCAACUCCGAGUCCGAAUUCAAAAUGGUACAGCACCAGCUCCGAGGCUCAAUUAAGAUAAUCGACGAUUGCUCCUUCAAAGUCUCCGAUUUCGACAUGCUCCCCGGCUCCGACGUCCACUGGUGGGGCGCCACCGCUCCCGAUUUCACCAACCUCAGCGCCGGCUUCGUAGUCUCCGAUCAGAAACUCAACGAGACCUACAAAAGCGCGAGCUUUACUGUGCGUUUGAGGGACAAUGUCACCUGGGAUCGGAUCCAGGUCCUCGCCGUGUGGGACCUCCCCACCGCCUCCGACUUCGGACACGUGAUUCUCGGCGAUUUCAGAAGCGGGUCGUCCGACCCGGCUCCUUCACCGUCUCCGUCCAGCGCAACCGGUUCGGGGAACGGGACGGGUCGGGUCCACACCGAGCCGACUAUGUUGGAGAACUGUAAGGUAUUGUCGAAGAACUAUAGGGUUAGAUGGACAUUGAAUUCUGAUGAGAAUAUAAUUGAUAUUGGGUUGGAGGCCGCCACCGGGACUAUGAAUUACAUGGCUUUCGGAUGGUCCAGCCCGAACUCGACUUCGGAGCUCAUGCUCGGAGCCGAUGCCGCCGUCACUGGGUAUAUCAGUCGUCUGUAACAUUCUGGCUCUCAAGCUUUUGGAAUCAGCAGAACUCAAUUCUUGAUCCCAUUGUCUACGUCGGGCGGCGUUGACGAUGUUCAGAGGGGCUGCUUCCACCGUAACAUCCUGCGAAAAUCUUUGGAUAUUUUGGCAUUUCCGAGGUUUUUUUAA